Molecule: ribosomal RNA, 854 nt
Filed under: uncultured bacterium
Lineage: Bacteria
Description: bacterial SSU rRNA
Rfam family: Bacterial small subunit ribosomal RNA
Source: RNAcentral
AGAGUUUGAUCCUGGCUCAGGACGAACGCUGGCGGCGCGCCUAACACAUGCAAGUCGAACGGAGCUUAGAGAGCUUGCUUUUUAAGCUUAGUGGCGAACGGGUGAGUAACGCGUGAGUAACCUGCCCUAGAGUGGGGGACAACAGUUGGAAACGACUGCUAAUACCGCAUAAGCCCACGGUACCGCAUGGUACUGAGGGAAAAGGAUUUAUUCGCUUUAGGAUGGACUCGCGUCCAAUUAGCUAGUUGGUGAGGUAACGGCCCACCAAGGCGACGAUUGGUAGCCGGACUGAGAGGUUGAACGGCCACAUUGGGACUGAGACACGGCCCAGACUCCUACGGGAGGCAGCAGUGAGGAAUAUUGGUCAAUGGACGAGAGUCUGAACCAGCCAAGUAGCGUGAAGGAUGACUGCCCUAUGGGUUGUAAACUUCUUUUAUACGGGAAUAAAGUUAGCCACGUGUGGCUUUUUGUAUGUACCGUAUGAAUAAGGAUCGGCUAACUCCGUGCCAGCAGCCGCGGUAAUACGGAGGAUCCGAGCGUUAUCCGGAUUUAUUGGGUUUAAAGGGAGCGUAGGCGGGUUGUUAAGUCAGUUGUGAAAGUUUGCGGCUCAACCGUAAAAUUGCAGUUGAUACUGGCGACCUUGAGUGCAACAGAGGUAGGCGGAAUUCGUGGUGUAGCGGUGAAAUGCUUAGAUAUCACGAAGAACUCCGAUUGCGAAGGCAGCUUACUGGAUUGUAACUGACGCUGAUGCUCGAAAGUGUGGGUAUCAAACAGGAUUAGAUACCCUGGUAGUCCACACAGUAAACGAUGAAUACUCCCUGUUGGCGAUAUUCAGUCCAGCGGCCCAAGCGAAA